Molecule: microRNA precursor, 130 nt
Filed under: Pteropus vampyrus (large flying fox)
Lineage: Eukaryota; Metazoa; Chordata; Mammalia; Chiroptera; Pteropodidae
Description: miRNA (ENSPVAG00000024808.1)
Source: RNAcentral
GGAUACCCAAGUAAGUUUGAAUUUCAGAUAAACAAAGAAUAAUAUUUUUACCACAUGAAUAGCCCAUGUAAUAUUUGGGACAUACUUAUACUAAAAAACUAUUUGUUGUAUGUCCGAAAUUCAGAUUUAA